Molecule: microRNA precursor, 198 nt
Organism: Oryza sativa Japonica Group (Japanese rice)
Lineage: Eukaryota; Viridiplantae; Streptophyta; Magnoliopsida; Poales; Poaceae
Rfam family: MIR812 microRNA precursor family
Source: Rfam
UUUAGAUGCAGUUAUGGUUUUAAUGUCUAAUGUUUAACCGUCCGUUUUAAUUUUAAAAAAUAUGACUCAUAUUUUUAUUGUUAUUAGAUGAUAAAACAUAAAUAGUACUUUAUGUGUGACUUAUUUUUAAUUUUAUAAGUUUUUCAAAUAAGAUGAAUGGUCAAACGUUAGGCACGAAAAUCCAUGACUGCACUUAAA